GAACCUGCCUCAUAGACUGGGACAACUAUUGGAAACGAUAGCUAAUACCGGAUAACAGCAUUAACUGCAUGGUUGAUGUUUAAAAGUUGGUUUCCGCUAACACUAUGAGAUGGCUUUGCGGUGCAUUAGCUAGUUGGUGGGGUAAAGGCCUACCAAGGCGACGAUGCAUAGCCGACCUGAGAGGGUGAUCGGCCACUGGGACUGAGACACGGCCCAGACUCCUACGGGAGGCAGCAGUAGGGAAUCUUCCGCAAUGGGCGAAAGCCUGACGGAGCAACGCCGCGUGAGUGAAGAAGGAUUUCGGUUCGUAAAGCUCUGUUGUUAGGGAAGAAUGAUUGUGUAGUAAC
Molecule: ribosomal RNA, 347 nt
Filed under: Gemella haemolysans
Lineage: Bacteria; Bacillati; Bacillota; Bacilli; Caryophanales; Gemellaceae
Description: bacterial SSU rRNA
Rfam family: Bacterial small subunit ribosomal RNA
Source: RNAcentral